RNAcentral lists this non-coding RNA (751 nucleotides) under Moina macrocopa. RNAcentral's name for it is "small ribosomal RNA". The stretch from base 349 to 744 matches the Rfam family "Microsporidia small subunit ribosomal RNA", at positions 752 to 1303 of the family's 1311-position model. The record is from RNAcentral. Lineage: Eukaryota; Metazoa; Arthropoda; Branchiopoda; Diplostraca; Moinidae.
UAAAAGUUUGAUUCUGGCUUUAAUUUCGUUUUAUGUUAAAUUUAUAUAUGAGAAUAUGCUUGAGGGUAAUUAUGUAGUAGAAAGUAUUAAGUACUUAAAAAAUAAGACUUAGUUAUAUAAUAAAGGUCGGCCAAAGUCGUGCCAGCUGCCGCGGUUAGACGAAGGACCUAAAUGAAAUUUAAGGUUAAAAUAAGAUAAUUGAUGUUUUAAAUUUAAACUUUAAGGAUAUUUUUUUGAGUGAAAUCUGUAAAAUUAUUAAGAGGUUUUAUUUUUUUAACUUUUAGAUCUUAUAAACUCAUUUUAUAAACCAGGAUUAGAUACCCUGCUAUUAUGAGUUACUGUUAACUAGGGUAGUAAAAGAAAAUUCUUCAAACCCAAAGAUUUUGGCGGUAUUCUAUCCAAAUAGAGGAGCUUGUCCUGUGAUCGAUAAUCCUCGUUGAAUCUUUCUUUCUUUUGUAUAGUUUGUAUACCUCCGUUGUCAGAUUACUUUACUAGAAUGUUUUCUUAAAAAAUAAUUUUAUGACUUCAGGUCAAGGUGCAGCUUAUGGGAAAGUAGUGAUGAGCUACAAUAGUUUUAAACUAAACGGAUUAUUUUUGUAAUAGGAUCUGAAGGUGGAUUUACUAGUAAACUUAAUUAAGGAAGUUAAGUUGAAUAAGGCAAUAGAAUAUGCACAUAUCGCCCGUCACUCUCCUCCUAAGAGGAGAUAAGUCGUAACAUAGUAGAUGUACUGGAAAGUGUAUCUAGAAAGUG